RNAcentral lists this ribosomal RNA (465 nucleotides) under uncultured bacterium. RNAcentral's name for it is "partial 16S ribosomal RNA". It matches the Rfam family "Bacterial small subunit ribosomal RNA", at positions 28 to 507 of the family's 1533-position model. The record is from RNAcentral.
GACGAACGCUGGCGGCGUGCUUAACACAUGCAAGUCGAACGGAAAGGCCCUGCUUGCAGGGUACUCGAGUGGCGAACGGGUGAGUAACACGUGGGUGAUCUGCCCUGCACUUCGGGAUAAGCCUGGGCAACUGGGUCUAAUACCGGAUAUGACCUUCCAUGUAGUGUGGGGGGUGGAAAGAUUUAGCGGUGUGGGAUGAGCCCGCGGCCUAUCUGCGUGUUGGUGGGGUAAUGGCCUACCAAGGCGUCGACGGGUAACCGGCCUGAGAGGGUAGACGGCCACAUUGGGACUGAGAUACGGCCCAGACGCCUACGGUAGGCAGCAGUGGGGAAUAUUGCACAAUGGGCGGAAGCCUUAUGCAGCGACGCCGCGUGGGGGAUGACGGCCUUCGGGUUGUAAACCUCUUUCGACAGGGACGAAGCUUCGGUGACGGUACCUGUAGAAGAAGCACCGGCUAACUACGUG